GCUGGCAUAGCACAAUUGGUAGAGCAACUGACUUACUUUUUGUAAGAGAAGCAGUAGAUCUCCCCCAUAUGAGCUUCGACUCUUGAUGCCGGCACCA
Molecule: transfer RNA, 97 nt
Filed under: Shewanella woodyi ATCC 51908
Lineage: Bacteria; Pseudomonadati; Pseudomonadota; Gammaproteobacteria; Alteromonadales; Shewanellaceae
Description: tRNA-Val-TAC-2-1
Source: RNAcentral